Molecule: non-coding RNA, 128 nt
Organism: Arvicola amphibius (Eurasian water vole)
Lineage: Eukaryota; Metazoa; Chordata; Mammalia; Rodentia; Cricetidae
Product: small Cajal body-specific RNA 4
Exons: 1
Source: RefSeq, a predicted model, not a curated record
ACUGGAGGACCCAAGAAGGCUGAGUGUGAUGAAGCAAGACAUUGCUGAUGCUCUCCUCCUAGACGAGGGGUGGCAACAGCAGUCUUCGCUCAUGAAAACCACAGAGUGGCCUCUACUGUUCAGCAGUU